RNAcentral lists this long non-coding RNA (1898 nucleotides) under Anas platyrhynchos platyrhynchos (common mallard). RNAcentral's name for it is "lncRNA (ENSAPLG00000025842.1)". The record is from RNAcentral. Lineage: Eukaryota; Metazoa; Chordata; Aves; Anseriformes; Anatidae.
CAUGUGCUUUUUUUGGUUUUGUUGCACAUGAACAAUUGUAUGAUGGGUUGAAAACUUGAGUUUCUGGAAGGCCUUCGUUUUCAGCUGCUGGCAUAUGCCAGAGAAUCUAAAUAUUAAAUCAGAUGGAAACCAGCAGCUUGAAAAUGUGCAAUCUGCUCUGUGCUGAAAUGCACAUCUGUCUGAGUGCCGCAGAUCCUUGGCUCCCACUAAGGUUGUCUGAGAUAACAAAAGAGCGUGUUUUGAAAGCUCUGAGCGUUUUUUUUUUAAUGUGCAAAGUACUGAAUUGACUGUUCUGAAACCAAGUGUCCUGUUUUUCCGUGAAAACAGAUGUAGCAGAAUGAGAACAGAACAUAGAUCAACCAGCUUUCCUUACGGUGUUGAACCACCAUGCUCCAGACCUCUUGGUAUUGACAGUGCCUUUCUGUGUGGAUGGUCAUCUCAGUUAAAGAUGGUAGAGAGAAACCCAAAUAAAACUGACUUUCUGAAUCUGCUUGUUUCCUAGGGACUUCAGGGGGAGCCAAGGAUGUGCUCAGUACCUUGAGGACUGGUCUUGAAGAGAGUGAUCAGGCAGGCUUGGUGUGCAUCGGCAAGAGAAGAGCUCGGGUACUGAUUUGUGCCAACAACAGAUACACUUAAUUGGUUGUUAAAUGGUUAAUGAAGUCAGGGUUAACAUCAUGCAAUGUCCCUAAAGCUGAUGAAGAACUACUCAUUUUCUGCCCCUGAAAGGAAGAUGAACCAUUACUAUGAACUUCAGGGUCUUUCAUACAAGCAUGAGCAAUUAACAUCAGUCGUUCAAGAUCACACCUGCUCAUGAUCAUGCAGAGAAUUCUCAUUUGCUGGAUAAAACUUCUAAUAUCACCUCCUUACGGACAAAGAUGGAGUUCACGCAGCAAAAUCGUGCUGGAGAGUAAACACAACAACACAAGCAAAGCCCCGUGGCCUUUGAGUUGCAAAGUACUGUGGUGGGUAUGUGUGGAUCUAGAUGUCAAAUUAAUUAUCUGAGGCUUAAUUAGCUGUAAUUGAAGUGACCUAUAAUUUCAUAUUACUUGACUGGCAUCUACUAACAGAUGCCCUUUUCCUGUCUACUUCUGACUUCCUUUCCCUUAAAAAGGUGCUGUUGCUAAUAAGAGAUCUAUGGAAAUGGCAGAAAAUUUACAGUUAUUUCCGCAUCUAUUUCCCUUUAUGAAGAACAUGAGCCCAUCUGACUUUGAGAACAUCCUAGCAGACGAGGUUCUGGUCCUCCUGCUUAGAGAUGCGUCUAAUUAGUGCUAAUGAACUAGCUGACCUGUGGUGAAUUCUUACUGAUGAAUAGCCUCCAGUUCUGCCUCAUGGUGACAAGCCACCCAUAUGAGUUCUGCACCUGAUUCCUCCUCCUCAUGACAAAUUUAUCUGUUCUUAACGCAGGAUAAUAACCUUUACUGACAGUAAUAUUAUUUCCCUAUGCUUGAUCAUACAGUCCUCAUAGGGCUGCUGCAAGCACACAGCUGUAUUAAAAGUACAGCUACACAGCAUGUGUGCGUGGACUGUUCUUUAAAAUAGUUCAUCUGACCAAAACAAAAUAACUUCUUGCUGCUCAGAUUUAGGAAGUGUUCAAACACAGUUAAGGAAUGGAUUUUCUUCAUCGCUUUGUCCCAUCAUUCUUCUUGCCUUCCGCUGAGCCAGUGUGCAAUGGCAGCACCUGAGUCUCAUCUGUUUAAUUUGCUGGGAGGAUAUCACCAGGGCAGUCACACCAAGAGCCUCUUCUGGGAGCUGGGCAGCAAUCUGAUGUAUUUGUUAAUAGAGUCACACUGACAGGAUCCUCUAUGAUAUAAAUGAUUGGAGAAGUAGCAGUGUUCUCAGCGAGGGCUAGCAGGUAAUCGUGCAAUAAAUUAAAAAAUAAAAAGGGGGAAAUAGUUGCC